GAUGAACGCUAGCGGCAGGCUUAAUACAUGCAAGUCGAGGGGCAGCACAGAUAGCAAUAUUGGGUGGCGACCGGCAAACGGGUGCGGAACACGUACGCAACCUUCCCGAAACAGGUGAAUAGCCCUCCGAAAGGAGGAUUAAUACACCGUAAUAUAUAGAGGUGGCAUCAUUUUUAUAUUAAAGGUCGCAAGAUCGGUUUUGGUAUGGCGUGCGCCUGAUUAGGUAGUUGGGUGGGUAAUGGCCCACCCGAGCCUUCGUAUCAGUAGCUGAUGUGAGAGCAUGAUCAGCCACACGGGC
RNAcentral lists this ribosomal RNA (298 nucleotides) under uncultured bacterium. RNAcentral describes it as "partial 16S ribosomal RNA". It matches the Rfam family "Bacterial small subunit ribosomal RNA", at positions 28 to 317 of the family's 1533-position model. The record is from RNAcentral.